AGGCAGUUGUCUUUGACGUGACACCCCUCAAUGGCCGGGCUGAAUUGUCUGGCAGGGUGAGUGUCCCCUUCCUCCUUCACUCUCCCACGUGUGCUUCUUCCAAAGCCACACUUUAGUUGAAGACAAUGAUGUUCCUAACAGGGAGAACUGUUUGUUCCUAAGCCGAGGGUGUGUGAAUGUCUUCACUGCCCUUCUAGAACUUUCAGAGAUUUCUUGGUAAACCUCCAAGAACUCUAGGAGAGCUGUGGCAAGUAGGCAGGGUCACAGAGUGAGUCCACCAUGCCCCUAGGGUCAUAAGCUGCCUCUCCCU
This is a non-coding RNA of Rattus norvegicus (Norway rat), 310 nucleotides long. Lineage: Eukaryota; Metazoa; Chordata; Mammalia; Rodentia; Muridae. The record is from Rfam.